UACGUAGGGCGCAAGCGUUGUCCGGAAUUAUUGGGCGUAAAGAGCUCGUAGGCGGUUUGUCGCGUCUGCUGUGAAAACCUGAGGCUCAACCUCGGGCUUGCAGUGGGUACGGGCAGACUAGAGUGCGGUAGGGGUGACUGGAAUUCCUGGUGUAGCGGUGGAAUGCGCAGAUAUCAGGAGGAACACCGAUGGCGAAGGCAGGUCACUGGGCCGCAACUGACGCUGAGGAGCGAAAGCAUGGGUAGCGAACAGG
Molecule: ribosomal RNA, 253 nt
Filed under: uncultured bacterium
Lineage: Bacteria
Description: partial 16S ribosomal RNA
Rfam family: Bacterial small subunit ribosomal RNA
Source: RNAcentral